AAAAACAAAAACAAAACAAAGGGGAAUCGUGCUCUUGGAACCGGGACUGAAGAGAGGAAAGACGUGUUGCCAGAGCUAAAUAAUUAAUGUUCCCCUGGGCACUCUAAGUUGCUUACAAGUAGUCAGAACAACAACUUAAGUGUAUAGAGUGUACUUUUGACCGGCGAGGACGUUUCCAAAUCUUAUGGUUUUGUAGCUAAGUCAUAUAGCCAAGUCAAUAAGGUUAGCAGCUCGCUAGCUGGGACUGCGCUGUUUUUGAGAGAGCCUGCGGAAAACGGGAUCCAGCGAGGGAAGACUGUGCCUUUGGGGAACGGUCAGCGGUGCUGUGAGGAGUGGAGUGGAGUGGAGUGGAGACACAAAUCGGCAGUACAGCUCGUGAGUUCUACCGUGGUGGCGCAAUGACCUGCAAUGGACCGGAGUUUCCACAGACCGACUCCACCACUGAGGACUGUAGUGAAACUGAAUUUGACAUCUGAUGUGUUUGAUCUUGCUGUGCAGUCAUCUGUUUUAGAGCUGAUCAAGCAGAAACUUGAAGAGAAAGGCAUGCUGGAGAACACCACAGUGACCUGGAGGGUGCAGCCAGAUGGAAACAUCUUUCACAAGGAAAAUUAAAGGAGUAAGCUGUAAUAUCAAAUCACAUGCUCUGUAUUUAGCAUAUACCAUUUAAUCUAAAGCUUGAGUAAUGUUUCAAUAAUGUAAGCUGCAAUCAAACUGCAGUCUUAAUGAAAUUCGUAAAAAUACAGAUCAUAUUCAGCAAAUCACAUUUGAAUGUAGUAUAAGUUUUUAUGCCUUCCUAAUUGAGCUAGUUGAAUCAAAGGAUUAGACAUAACUAUAUUCUAUUCUUGUGCUGUGAUAUUUCAGGUGUCUAUAGAAUUUUGUUAGACUGCAAGUGAGAUCUGUAAAUUGUGUGAACAAAAUAUUCAUUCAGAAGUUGGAGUGUGUUUAAGAGGAAAGAAUUGUGCAUUAGGGGGAAGUUAACUGACUCUCACAAGAUUUUUUUUUUUUUUAGAUCUUAACAUAUAUAGUGGAAUUGCUUUCGAAAAAUGAAAGAAAACCUUUCCUGUGACCUUCAAAUUGUGUAAACAAAACAGUACACUGAGUGCAGAAUUAUUAGGCAAGUGAGUAUUUUGACCACAACAUCCUUUUAAUGCAUGUUGUCCCACUCCAAGCUGUUUAGGCUUGAAAGCCUACUACCAAUUAAGUAUAUCAGGUGCUGUGCAUCUGUGUAAUGAGAGGGGGUGUGGUCUAAUGACAUCAACACCCUAUAUCAGGUGUGCAUAAUUAUUAGGCAACCUCUUUUCCUCUGGCAAAAUGGGUCAGAAGAGAGAUCUGACAGACUUUGAAAAGUCUAAAAUUGUGAGAUGUCUUGCAGACGGAUGCAGCACUCUUGAAAUUGCGAAGAUGUUGAAACGUGAUCACCGAACAAUCAAGCGUUUCAUUGCAAAUAGUCAACAGGGUCGAAAGAAGCGUGUGGAAAAAAAAAGGCGCAAAAUAACUUCACAUGAUCUGCGGAAAAUCAAGCGUGAAGCUAACAAGCAGCCAUUAGCAUCCAGUUCUGCCAUAUUCCAGAGUUGCAACAUUCCUGGAGUGUCAAAGAGUACAAGGUGUGCAAUACUGAGGGACAUGGCCAAGGUAAGGAAGGCUGAAAAACGACCACCACUGAGUAAGGCACACAAGAUAAAACGUCAAGACUGGGCCAAGAAAUAUCUUAAGACUGAUUUUUCUAAGGUGCUGUGUUCUGAUGAGAUGAGAGUGACUCUUGAUGGGCCAGAUGGAUGGGCCUGUGGCUGGAUCAGUAAUGGGCACAGAGCUCCACUCUGACUCAGACGCCAGCAAGGUGGAGGUGGAGUACUGCUAUGGGCUGGUAUCAUCAAAGACGAGCUUGUUGGACCUUUUCGAGUUGAGGAUGGACUCAAACUCAACUCCCAGACCUACUGCCAGUUCCUGGAAGAAACCUUCUUCAAGCAGUGGUAUAGGAAAAAGUCAGCAUCUUUCAAGAAGAACAUGAUUUUCAUGCAGGAUAAUGCUCCAUCUCAUGCGUCCAAAUACUCCACUGCGUGGCUAGCCAGUAAAGGUCUGAAAGGUGAAAAAAUAAUGACAUGGCCCCCUUGUUCACCUGACCUAAACCCCAUAGAGAACCUGUGGUCCAUUAUAAAACGUGAGGUCUACAAAGAGGGAAAACAGUACACCUCUCUGAACAGUGUCUGGGAGGCCGUGGUUGCUGCUGCACACAAUGUUGGUCGUGAACAGAUAAAGAAAUUGACAAUCUAUGGAUGGAAGGCUUUUGAGUGUCCUCAUGAAGAAGGGUGGCUAUAUUGGUCACUGAUUUGUUUUUGUUUUGUUUGAAUGUCAGAUAUGUUUAUUUGCAAAUCUGGAGGUGUCAUAUCAGUGUACCUGGUGAAAAUAAAUAAGUGAAAUGGCUACAUAUUUGGUUUUUAUUAAGUUGCCUAAUAAUUCUGCACAGUGAAAGUUACCUGAACACAUACAUAUUCUCCUAAAAUGGCCAAAACUAAAAACGCCCCACUCUAACUUCCAUACAUAUUCAGCUUUGAUAUUUAUGAGACUUUUUGGUUGAUUGAGAACAUAGUUGUUGUUCAAUAAUAAAACUAAUCCUCAAAAAUACAACUUGCCUAAUAAUUCUGCACUCAGUGUAAACAUUAUGAUCUGUCCAUUUACUAAUCACUCUUUUCAAUAUUGUGUGCAAAAAGGUCAUAUUCAAUAUCUUUUACUGUCUACAUUAGUAAAUCACCUUUUUAUUGAGAAAUUAUUUCAAUUCGGAAAUGUAAUUCAGUCUGUCUGUACUGGAUGCACCAUUUUCAUACUUUCAUUUCAAUAAAGACUUCAUCCACAAGGUGGAAGCAGAGCACAAAGCAAAUCAUGAACUGUUUGGCUGGGGACUAGCAGAACUAGCAGACUAGUGGGUGUAAGAAUUUUCUUUAGUUAAUGAAUGAUUCUGAAAACACUUUCUAAUUAACAUAGUAAGUAAAAUUGUUAAUAAAAUAAUGAGUUGCCUGACCCAUUCCUUCACGAAAUAUUUCAUUACUCUUGCUUGUUUGCACAAUCCCAGUGUCAAUCACACUGUAUUUCACUAUACAUUGCAAUCUGUACAACUUUGUUUGUGACAAAUAAAAUCUCUGAAUCUUUUGAAUCCUUGACAA
This is a long non-coding RNA of Neoarius graeffei (lesser salmon catfish), 3158 nucleotides long. RefSeq lists it as uncharacterized. NCBI's taxonomy places the organism in Eukaryota, Metazoa, Chordata, Actinopteri, Siluriformes, Ariidae. The transcript has 3 exons. The record is from RefSeq and is a predicted model, not a curated record.